Molecule: ribosomal RNA, 253 nt
Filed under: uncultured bacterium
Lineage: Bacteria
Description: partial 16S ribosomal RNA
Rfam family: Bacterial small subunit ribosomal RNA
Source: RNAcentral
UACGUAGGGGGCAAGCGUUGUCCGGAUUUAUUGGGCGUAAAGAGCGUGUAGGCGGCUUGGUAGGUCCGCUGUGAAAACUCGAGGCUCAACCUCGAGACGUCGGUUGAAACCGUUUGGCUAGAGUCCGGAAGAGGAGAGUGGAAUUCCCGGUGUAGCGGUGAAAUGCGCAGAUAUCGGGAAGAACACCCGUGGCGAAGGCGGCUCUCUGGGACGGUACUGACGCUGAGACGCGAAAGCGUGGGGAGCGAACAGG